This 340-nucleotide long non-coding RNA is filed under the name Cyanistes caeruleus (blue tit). Its description in RNAcentral is "lncRNA (ENSCCEG00000008285.1)". Lineage: Eukaryota; Metazoa; Chordata; Aves; Passeriformes; Paridae. The record is from RNAcentral.
UGAGAUCUGUCACUUCAUCAGGAUCUAGCUUUGGCUUGUUGUUCUCAGGGAACAAGCUGGUUUUACAGAAGGCUGGGGGUUAGGCCAGGAUUUAGCUGUUACUGUCAUGGAAAGAGAAAAGACCAAAGAGAGGAGAAGAACCAGAAGAAGCACCACUUCUGUUUGCUGCUCCUGCUGUCAGAGCAGCGUGUUUGGUGGCUGACUGAGCACCUGUGGUUCCACACUUAGUGGAAGCCACUUCUUUUUCUCUUGACUGUCUUACCAAAUGGAAAACAGAAGGAAGAAAAAGAGAGAAGAAAGUAUUAACACCAAAUAAAGAUAGGUUUUCUCUCUAGGCUCA